GGGUGAGUAACGCGUGGAUAACCUACCUAUAAGACUGGGAUAACUUCGGGAAACCGGAGCUAAUACCGGAUAAUAUAUUGAACCGCAUGGUUCAAUAGUGAAAGACGGUUUUGCUGUCACUUAUAGAUGGAUCCGCGCCGCAUUAGCUAGUUGGUAAGGUAACGGCUUACCAAGGCAACGAUGCGUAGCCGACCUGAGAGGGUGAUCGGCCACACUGGAACUGAGACACGGUCCAG
This 236-nucleotide ribosomal RNA is filed under the name uncultured Staphylococcus sp. RNAcentral describes it as "partial 16S ribosomal RNA". It matches the Rfam family "Bacterial small subunit ribosomal RNA", at positions 104 to 334 of the family's 1533-position model. The record is from RNAcentral. Lineage: Bacteria; Bacillati; Bacillota; Bacilli; Caryophanales; Staphylococcaceae.